RNAcentral lists this ribosomal RNA (459 nucleotides) under uncultured bacterium. RNAcentral's name for it is "bacterial SSU rRNA". It matches the Rfam family "Bacterial small subunit ribosomal RNA", at positions 28 to 507 of the family's 1533-position model. The record is from RNAcentral.
GAUAAACGCUGGCGGCGUGCAUAACACAUUCAAGUCGAACGGACAAGGGGCUUCGGCCCUGCGUUAGUGGCGGACGGGUGAGUAACGCGUGAGUAACCUGCCUCAGAGUGGGGAAUAACGUCUGGAAACGGACGCUAAUACCGCAUAACACACAGUUCUCGCAUGGGAGUUGUGUCAAAGAUUUAUGCUCUGAGAUGGACUCGCGUCCGAUUAGGUAGUUGGUGAGGUAACGGCCACCAAGCCGACGAUCGGUAGCCGGACUGAGAGGUUGAACGGCCACAUUGGAACUGAGAUACGGUCCAGACUCCUACGGGAGGCAGCAGUGGGGAAUAUUGGGCAAUGGGCGCAAGCCUGACCCAGCGACGCCGCGUGAAGGAGAAGGUUUCGGAUUGUAAACUUCUGUCGACAGGGACGAAACAAAUGACGGUACCUGUUGAGAAAGCCACGGCUAACUACGUG